ACACUCUAGUGUCUUCUUUUUGAGAUCGCUUAAAUCUUUCGCCUUUUACUAACGAUUUCCUUGGAGAGUAUCAACACAUUUAUAUUGAGUAUCAACACAUUUUUUGUUGUCCGGCCGUAUGGCCGUAU
RNAcentral lists this small nuclear RNA (128 nucleotides) under Oncorhynchus mykiss (rainbow trout). RNAcentral describes it as "U5 spliceosomal RNA (ENSOMYG00000043084.2)". It matches the Rfam family "U5 spliceosomal RNA". Rfam says of the family: U5 RNA is a component of both types of known spliceosome. The precise function of this molecule is unknown, though it is known that the 5' loop is required for splice site selection and p220 binding, and that both the 3' stem-loop and the Sm site are important for Sm protein binding and cap methylation. The record is from RNAcentral. Lineage: Eukaryota; Metazoa; Chordata; Actinopteri; Salmoniformes; Salmonidae.